RNAcentral lists this ribosomal RNA (508 nucleotides) under uncultured bacterium. RNAcentral's name for it is "bacterial SSU rRNA". It matches the Rfam family "Bacterial small subunit ribosomal RNA", at positions 19 to 518 of the family's 1533-position model. The record is from RNAcentral.
CUGGCUCAGGAUGAACGCUAGCUACAGGCUUAACACAUGCAAGUCGAGGGGCAGCGAGAGGAAAGCUUGCUUUCCUGCGGCGACCGGCGCACGGGUGAGUAACGCGUAUCCAACCUUCCCCAUAGUAGAGGAUAGCCCGGCGAAAGUCGGAUUAAUACUCUAUGUUGUGUCAUGAGGACAUCUGAAUAACACUAAAGAUUUAUCGCUAUGGGAUGGGGAUGCGUCUGAUUAGCUUGUCGGCGGGGUAACGGCCCACCGAGGCGACGAUCAGUAGGGGUUCUGAGAGGAAGGUCCCCCACAUUGGUACUGAGACACGGACCAAACUCCUACGGGAGGCAGCAGUGAGGAAUAUUGGUCAAUGGACGAGAGUCUGAACCAGCCAAGUAGCGUGCAGGAUGACUGCCCUAUGGGUUGUAAACUGCUUUUAUGCGGGAAUAAAGUCAGGUACGUGUACCUGUUUGUAUGUACCGCAUGAAUAAGGACCGGCUAAUUCCGUGCCAGCCGCCGC